CGGUGGAGCAUGUGGUUUAAUUCGACGCAACGCGAAGAACCUUACCAGGGCUUGACAUCCCCUGACCGCGUAUGAAAGUACGUUUCACCCUCGGGUGACAGGGAGACAGGUGGUGCAUGGUUGUCGUCAGCUCGUGUCGUGAGAUGUUGGGUUAAGUCCCGCAACGAGCGCAACCCUUGUCUUUAGUUGCCAUCAUUAAGUUGGGCACUCUAAAGAGACUGCCGAUGACAAAUCGGAGGAAGGUGGGGAUGACGUCAAAUCAUCAUGCCCUUUAUGUCCUGGGCUACACACGUGCUACAAUGGUCGGUACAACGAGAAGCAAGUCAGCGAUGGCAAGCAAAUCUCUAAAAGCCGAUCCCAGUUCGGAUUGCAGGCUGCAACUCGCCUGCAUGAAGUCGGAGUUGCUAGUAAUCGCGGAUCAGAAUGCCGCGGUGAAUGCGUUCCCGGGUCUU
This 452-nucleotide ribosomal RNA is filed under the name uncultured Eubacteriales bacterium. Its description in RNAcentral is "bacterial SSU rRNA". It matches the Rfam family "Bacterial small subunit ribosomal RNA", at positions 930 to 1382 of the family's 1533-position model. Lineage: Bacteria; Bacillati; Bacillota; Clostridia; Eubacteriales. The record is from RNAcentral.